RNAcentral lists this ribosomal RNA (513 nucleotides) under uncultured bacterium. RNAcentral's name for it is "partial 16S ribosomal RNA". The record is from RNAcentral.
GGAGUUAGCCGGUGCUUCUUCUGCGAGUAACGUCACAGAUGUAAGGUAUUAACUUACACCCUUUCCUCCUCGCUGAAAGUGCUUUACAACCCGAAGGCCUUCUUCACACACGCGGCAUGGCUGCAUCAGGGUUUCCCCCAUUGUGCAAUAUUCCCCACUGCUGCCUCCCGUAGGAGUCUGGGCCGUGUCUCAGUCCCAGUGUGGCUGAUCAUCCUCUCAGACCAGCUAGGGAUCGUCGCCUAGGUGAGCCUUUACCUCACCUACUAGCUAAUCCCACCUGGGCUUAUCCAUCAGCGCAAGGCCCGAAGGUCCCCUGCUUUCCCCCGUAGGGCGUAUGCGGUAUUAGCAGUCGUUUCCAACUGUUAUCCCCCACAAAUGGGCAAAUUCCCAGGCAUUACUCACCCGUCCGCCGCUCGUCAUCUUCAAAAGCAAGCUUUUGAAAUGUUACCGCUCGACUUGCAUGUGUUAGGCCUGCCGCCAGCGUUCAUCUGAGCCGAACUACGAACCCUACGA